RNAcentral lists this long non-coding RNA (1173 nucleotides) under Homo sapiens (human). RNAcentral describes it as "HSALNT0322705". Lineage: Eukaryota; Metazoa; Chordata; Mammalia; Primates; Hominidae. The record is from RNAcentral.
AGAUUGGAAAGUUGAAGGGGAGGAGAAGUGACUUCUUUCUGACUUUUUGCUGUUUUUAUGUUGGCCUAGCUUUUUCUCUCACCCCCAGAAGAAGCCUCAUUACCCUCUCAGAGGUGCCAGGGAGCAUGCACUUCUCAGAUGUCUUAUCCCCAGUUCAGGAGGCCCUUCCUCCAAGGAGAUGAGUGGUCAUCUCAAUAUCUUCCCUUUUAUUUCCCGAGACCUGAAGGUUGUUGUUUCUGCUGUUCUCUCUGGGUUACCCCAGGGCUCCAUUUUUGUUCUUCCAGUCUUACAGCACUUGAGUAAUCAAUUCUGUCUCUGUAAUCUCCCCUGUUCAAAUACCUAGCACUGUUUUUUGUUUGUUUGUUUGUUUUCCUUCCUGACUGGACUGUGGCUGAUACAAUACUACCCUUUGCUAGCUGUAACAUGGAGCAACAUUCCCUUCUUCUUUUAUAAAGGGUAAAGACUGAACCAAAAGAGAAGAAAAAAUGGAUCAUUGAGAACAUCUUUGUUACUGGCACUGUCUACAUGGUAUUUUGAGCAGAGUUUUGCAGUGUUUCCAAGUGCUGCAGUUUCUUCCCGCAGAGAGAUGGCCACUACAGACUCUAGCUGCCAGAAGAAUUUCCCCCAGAUCUGGAAAGUUUCUACAGUUGCUUACCUCGAAUAUUCACAUACAGAGAGGUACUUCCUCCAAAGUGCGGUUUUCCAACAACUCCAUAAUGAUAACAUGGGAACUGGACCUGGCUCUGCCAACAGAUGUCAAUACUUUCACGAUGAAGAGAAAUAGCGAUUCCUUCAUGAUCUGCUUCAAAAUAUUGGAAUAGAUUUUAGUGAUUCUGGAAUGGAUGAGAAGAUUUGACAGAAGCAUUGUUUUACUUUUUAAAUUUUCCUUCAAAUUACAAAUCAGAAUAACCAUUUCCAGGACAUUUUGCUUCAGCAAGGUCUUUUAUUUAGUCGUGCAGCAAGCGAUCUUGCAGGAUGACUCAAGACAAUACAUCUUUGUGUUGGAGAAAAUCCAAGUUUUUAAUGCUUUCCAAUUGACCCUUUUACUAAGGCAAAAGAGGCAGACUGUGCAGUGUAUUUUCAGGAUGUAAGGGAUCACUUCAGCUUUGUUCGGUUCCUGCUUCCAUAGGUAAUAUGUUCAACAAUGCAAGCAAAAUCCAAGGGGGCAGACAG